Epinephelus fuscoguttatus (brown-marbled grouper) is the source of this 1655-nucleotide long non-coding RNA. RefSeq lists it as uncharacterized. The record is from RefSeq and is a predicted model, not a curated record. NCBI's taxonomy places the organism in Eukaryota, Metazoa, Chordata, Actinopteri, Perciformes, Serranidae. The transcript has 4 exons.
GGUUACAUGAUGGCUUCUCAUUCAGAAUGAAAUGAAUCUGAAUGAAAUCAUUCGGAAUUAAAGUGUUUCCAGGUAGUUUACAUGGGAAAUAUUAAUUCCGAAUGAGGGUUUACAUGGGAGAUCAGUUCAAUCGCCUUUAUUCAGGUCUGCGCAAGGUUUGGGGCAGGGAAGGUUUCUGAUUGGAUAGGGGGCGGGGCGGAUGUUACGUGUUUACGUUUACCGGAAGAAAACACUGUAGUCCUCGCUCCGGAUAACAAGAUGCUUGACGAUGCCGUUCUUAGUGCCUUUUUCGGGCGUGUUUUGCUUAUAUUCUUAAAGCAGCAGUACGACAACAACCUUGUUCUGCUAAUGCUUCAUCUGUUGAGCAGGAGAAGGGAGGCAGAAGACCGUGCUGUGGCGAAUGGAAACCGGUGACUGCAACGAGUCCGACUGCUCUAGCUCAGCCCGUUGCUAUGCAGCCGUUGCUAUGCGCGCUAUAUACGUCAUCGCACCAGAAGGGCAAGGAAACGAGCAUGCGCAGAAAGACCGGAAUGAACUUAAAGAGGAAUGAGUGUAUACAUGCACACAAAAUUCUUUCAUUCGGAAUGACAAACGGAAUAAACCACCCCCUUUAAUCGGAUUUAAUUUUCAAUCGGAAUGACCAUUUUUCAAUCGGAAUGACCGUUUACAUGACCACUUUUAAUCGGAAUGGCCGUUCAUUCCGAUUAAAAGUGGAAUUAAACUGUCCAUGUAAACGUACUGAGUGUCACAACAUUAACAGCUGUACACAGUUAAGUGCUUUAGUUCACAUUAGUUCAUGUUGACUGAAUGCCAUGGUGCUGCUGACUGUUCUCACAAAUAUGCUUUGUACAGAUGCAGUAUGGACUCAUGUCAUCGCCAGCCUCGUGCCCAAAUAUGGUCACCUCUAGCUCCAAAAAACCAUGAUGGCGACGGUCAAAACAACACUCCACAAACCAAUGGGCUGCACUGAUCUGACCAUCUGGAUUUCAGGGUGAGAGACAAUCUCAGCUGUGAUCCCUCCCAACAGGGGUAACACCACUGGAUGAGGGUGCUGCUGAGAGAUGAGAUGUGUCCAUCCCCAGCUGGAAGGAUUUUCCUGGAUGGCACAGUAUUUUAAAAGUGGCGCUCAACACCCCCCCGUCCCCUCUCUCCAAACCCAUCUGGCCCAAGCCUGUCACCAGCAAUACAUCACGUUAAUGAAAUGGCAGCAGCCCAAUGCUAUCUGUCAUAAGCAAUCUGCAUCUGCUGAGGAACUGAACGGAAAUGAGGAAGAGGGAUAAAAGUCAGAGGAAGGCACAGAGACUUUGUGUCCCCCAAGCAGGUGCCAUGUUUGUGUGUGUGUGAGUAUGAAUGUGUGCAUUUGUGUGUUUCCUCAGUCUCUCCUUUCAGCGCAGUGUGAAAAAUAUUGAUUUUAUUUUGAGAGAAGAAAAUAGCCACAGCAGGCCACCAUAUCUCUCAUCUCUACUGGACCAAAUAGGUGAGGAUAUUUAAUCGGUUUUGCGGUAGAACAAAGUUCCAAUGCAUCUUAUCUGUCAGAGAGAAAAUGACUCACUGCACCUUGUCUUGGCACUUGGGGCAACUUGUAUUGAUAUCUGUCUCAGCUUCACAAACUGUGAAAUUUCACACAAAUGAUAAACUACACAUGGGUUGUGAAA